Molecule: ribosomal RNA, 1556 nt
Filed under: Escherichia coli
Lineage: Bacteria; Pseudomonadati; Pseudomonadota; Gammaproteobacteria; Enterobacterales; Enterobacteriaceae
Description: partial 23S ribosomal RNA
Rfam family: Bacterial large subunit ribosomal RNA
Source: RNAcentral
GGGUUGUGAGGUUAAGCGACUAAGCGUACACGGUGGAUGCCCUGGCAGUCAGAGGCGAUGAAGGACGUGCUAAUCUGCGAUAAGCGUCGGUAAGGUGAUAUGAACCGUUAUAACCGGCGAUUUCCGAAUGGGGAAACCCAGUGUGUUUCGACACACUAUCAUUAACUGAAUCCAUAGGUUAAUGAGGCGAACCGGGGGAACUGAAACAUCUAAGUACCCCGAGGAAAAGAAAUCAACCGAGAUUCCCCCAGUAGCGGCGAGCGAACGGGGAGGAGCCCAGAGCCUGAAUCAGUGUGUGUGUUAGUGGAAGCGUCUGGAAAGGCGCGCGAUACAGGGUGACAGCCCCGUACACAAAAAUGCACAUACUGUGAGCUCGAUGAGUAGGGCGGGACACGUGGUAUCCUGUCUGAAUAUGGGGGGACCAUCCUCCAAGGCUAAAUACUCCUGACUGACCGAUAGUGAACCAGUACCGUGAGGGAAAGGCGAAAAGAACCCCGGCGAGGGGAGUGAAAAAGAACCUGAAACCGUGUACGUACAAGCAGUGGGAGCCUCUUUUAUGGGGUGACUGCGUACCUUUUGUAUAAUGGGUCAGCGACUUAUAUUCUGUAGCAAGGUUAACCGAAUAGGGGAGCCGAAGGGAAACCGAGUCUUAACUGGGCGUUAAGUUGCAGGGUAUAGACCCGAAACCCGGUGAUCUAGCCAUGGGCAGGUUGAAGGUUGGGUAACACUAACUGGAGGACCGAACCGACUAAUGUUGAAAAAUUAGCGGAUGACUUGUGGCUGGGGGUGAAAGGCCAAUCAAACCGGGAGAUAGCUGGUUCUCCCCGAAAGCUAUUUAGGUAGCGCCUCGUGAAUUCAUCUCCGGGGGUAGAGCACUGUUUCGGCAAGGGGGUCAUCCCGACUUACCAACCCGAUGCAAACUGCGAAUACCGGAGAAUGUUAUCACGGGAGACACACGGCGGGUGCUAACGUCCGUCGUGAAGAGGGAAACAACCCAGACCGCCAGCUAAGGUCCCAAAGUCAUGGUUAAGUGGGAAACGAUGUGGGAAGGCCCAGACAGCCAGGAUGUUGGCUUAGAAGCAGCCAUCAUUUAAAGAAAGCGUAAUAGCUCACUGGUCGAGUCGGCCUGCGCGGAAGAUGUAACGGGGCUAAACCAUGCACCGAAGCUGCGGCAGCGACGCUUAUGCGUUGUUGGGUAGGGGAGCGUUCUGUAAGCCUGUGAAGGUGUACUGUGAGGUAUGCUGGAGGUAUCAGAAGUGCGAAUGCUGACAUAAGUAACGAUAAAGCGGGUGAAAAGCCCGCUCGCCGGAAGACCAAGGGUUCCUGUCCAACGUUAAUCGGGGCAGGGUGAGUCGACCCCUAAGGCGAGGCCGAAAGGCGUAGUCGAUGGGAAACAGGUUAAUAUUCCUGUACUUGGUGUUACUGCGAAGGGGGGACGGAGAAGGCUAUGUUGGCCGGGCGACGGUUGUCCCGGUUUAAGCGUGUAGGCUGGUUUUCCAGGCAAAUCCGGAAAAUCAAGGCUGAGGCGUGAUGACGAGGCACUACGGUGCUGAAGC